Molecule: long non-coding RNA, 641 nt
Filed under: Callithrix jacchus (white-tufted-ear marmoset)
Lineage: Eukaryota; Metazoa; Chordata; Mammalia; Primates; Cebidae
Description: lncRNA (ENSCJAG00000072055.1)
Source: RNAcentral
GGCCCAGAAUAUGCUACUAAAAACUCAUGUGAGGAGAACUUAUAAGGAUUUUUAAAACGAUUUUUUAAAAAGUGGAUUUAUUCCACAAACAUCGAUGAGUGCAUUAUCCUUACAAUUUCUUUAAUUUCCAGGACUGAAUUCUUAGGUCCGGACAACUUUGUCAUUGAAAUUGCUCUUAUUUUUAAGUGACUGCUUCGGAGAACAGUAUAAGCUUGACUUUUAUUCUAAGCUAAUUUGUCCACUUUGUGAUCAUCUGUAAUCUCUACAGUGUGGCCGGCCAUUAUGUGAGGAGUGACAGAAGAGAAGGAAAAAGAGAACUGAAAGGAAACGAACAGUAUUUGAUCAUCGACUACAUUUUAUUCUAACACCUGAAUGGAGAAGAUGGAAGAAAUGGAAGGACUGCAUUUAUUCUGGGGAAAACGAGCGUAAGCUGUUGAAUGAGGCUGAAGCAGCACAAAGCUGAGACGUGAGGGCCUCCUGCACUGUGCAGAUUGAGCCAGUGAUGUACUGUUCACAGGGGAUCAUGUUGUUCAGAUUGGAGGCUCUUAAAAUAGAAGCAGUGGCAAGGAGGUGAGAAAUGGUGGGAAGCUGUACUAAGACCCUAAUAGUGGGAAUGAGAGAGAGAGACUUGGAAGACACUA